CCGGGACAGCCCCGGAGGCAGCAGCGGCCCCGCAGCCGCCCUCUGGCAAGCUCGGCUGGGGACCCCGGGCUCCAGCGCCAAGGGACCCUACAGGCAGGAAGGUAAGGGGCCUCGCCGCUUGGGGGGAGCAGGCAGCCAAGCCCACACAUGUCCCAAGGCUUCGGCAAGAUUUGGGACCCUUCUGCCCGCCCCUCUUCGCAGCAAUGGGGAUAGGGGUGCUGUGCCUUUGCCUGUUGCUUCUUUCCCUGCUCGCAUCCCUGGAUCUGCCAUGGGACGCCAGGCUGCACUGCUUGGGCACGCCGGGGUGCCCCACAAGGUACCCAUGCUGAGGGUUCCCCCAGUGCUUCGCCCGCUUCUUCAUCCCUGCUCUGGGACGUGCCCAGUUCUGUGCUGUGGGGACUUCACCCCGCUGCUGCAAGUGCCCCUUCCCUGUGGGCUGGAUCCUGCCAAAGCUCAGCCCCGCAGAGCCCUCACAGAGGCAGCAAGGAUCUGGUGGUACAGGAGGGUCAGGAUGCACCCAGCACCGGCUGCUUGGGGGGAGCUGCAAGCAAAAGCACCUCAAACACCCACGGGUCCCAUGGGCUGUGCCAGGCACUGCCCUUAUCCCACCCUGUCACCCCAAAGGCACUUCUGUUGCUGGUUUUGCACCCACAUUAGUGUCACGGGCACCCCGGGCACCUCAAGCUCCCAUUCUGGUUGCAGAGAUACAGCCUAUCCACACAGGAAGAGCUGUGCUCUCCUGCAUGCCCAGUGCCCUGCUGGGCACCCCAGGGUGCCCCCAGCUUCCCGGAGCACAUCCUGGAGCUUCCACCUUUGUACGCCCCCCAUCAGGUUUGCUCUAGGCUGUAUGCAAAGCAAAACACCCCAUGCAGCUUGUAGGGGCUUCCCGGUGGUGACAAGGUUGGGCUGGGGGCAGCUGGGGGCUGGGAAGCUGACGGGAACCACCAAGCAUCCCCCAAAUAUCCUGCUACGGCCAAGAGGGCAAGCGGAAAGUCCCCAGAGCCACAGAGGAAGGACGUCCCUGUCCCUGCCCUCCACCACCAGAUGCAUCAGGGCUGCUCUUUGGCUGGUUGUAGCAAACUCCUCAGAGCAAAGCCAGGGCUCUUCACCACCUCCUUCCUCUGGUUUUGGCUGCUCACUGAUUUUGGGAAACUCACUGCUGGGUGAUUUAGGACCAGGUGAGCAUCAGAAGGGUGGCACAGAGCUGAGAGCUGAUGGUGAGUCCCCUCUGGAUCAGGCUGGGUGCUGGGUGCUGCUGGGUGCUCAGCUGGUGGAAGUGAGGUCUCCCAUGAGGUUUUGA
This 1300-nucleotide long non-coding RNA is filed under the name Anser cygnoides (Swan goose). RNAcentral describes it as "lncRNA (ENSACDG00005012665.1)". The record is from RNAcentral. Lineage: Eukaryota; Metazoa; Chordata; Aves; Anseriformes; Anatidae.